This 648-nucleotide ribosomal RNA is filed under the name uncultured Bacteroidota bacterium. Its description in RNAcentral is "bacterial SSU rRNA". It matches the Rfam family "Bacterial small subunit ribosomal RNA", at positions 1 to 635 of the family's 1533-position model. Lineage: Bacteria; Pseudomonadati; Bacteroidota. The record is from RNAcentral.
UGGAUCCAGAACUUUGAUUCUGGCUCAGGAUGAACGCUAGCUACAGGCUUAACACAUGCAAGUCGAGGGGAAACGAUAUUGGAAGCUUGCUUCCGAUAGGCGUCGACCGGCGCACGGGUGAGUAACGCGUAUCCAACCUGCCCACCACUUGGGGAUAACCUUGCGAAAGUAAGACUAAUACCCAAUGAUAUCUCUAGAAGACAUCUGAAAGGGAUUAAAGAUUUAUCGGUGAUGGAUGGGGAUGCGUCUGAUUAGCUUGUUGGCGGGGUAACGGCCCACCAAGGCUACGAUCAGUAGGGGUUCUGAGAGGAAGGUCCCCCACAUUGGAACUGAGACACGGUCCAAACUCCUACGGGAGGCAGCAGUGAGGAAUAUUGGUCAAUGGGCGAGAGCCUGAACCAGCCAAGUAGCGUGCAGGAUGACGGCCCUAUGGGUUGUAAACUGCUUUUAUAAGGGAAUAAAGUGAGCUACGUGUAGCUCUUUGCAUGUACCUUAUGAAUAAGGACCGGCUAAUUCCGUGCCAGCAGCCGCGGUAAUACGGAAGGUCCGGGCGUUAUCCGGAUUUAUUGGGUUUAAAGGGAGCGUAGGCCGGAGAUUAAGCGUGUUGUGAAAUGUAGAUGCUCAACAUCUGCACUGCAGCGCGAACUG